GUAGGUGGCAAGCGUUGUCCGGAAUUAUUGGGCGUAAAGCGCGCGCAGGCGGUUCCUUAAGUCUGAUGUGAAAGCCCACGGCUCAACCGUGGAGGGUCAUUGGAAACUGGAGAACUUGAGUACAGAGGAGGAAAGCGGAAUUCCACGUGUAGCGGUGAAAUGCGUAGAGAUGUGGAGGAACACCAGUGGCGAAGGCGGCUUUCUGGUCUGUAACUGACGCUGAGGCGCGAAAGCGUGGGGAGCAAACAGGAUUAGAUACCCUGGUAGUCCACGCCGUAAACGAUGAGUGCUAAGUGUUAGGGGGGUUUCCGCCCCCCUUAGUGCUGCAGCUAACGCAUUAAGCACUCCGCCUGGGAGUACGGCCGCAAGGCUG
This 373-nucleotide ribosomal RNA is filed under the name uncultured organism. RNAcentral's name for it is "partial 16S ribosomal RNA". It matches the Rfam family "Bacterial small subunit ribosomal RNA", at positions 527 to 896 of the family's 1533-position model. The record is from RNAcentral.